Molecule: ribosomal RNA, 450 nt
Filed under: uncultured bacterium
Lineage: Bacteria
Description: partial 16S ribosomal RNA
Rfam family: Bacterial small subunit ribosomal RNA
Source: RNAcentral
GUGGGGAAUUUUGGACAAUGGGCGAAAGCCUGAUCCAGCAAUGCCGCGUGCAGGAUGAAGGCCCUCGGGUUGUAAACUGCUUUUGUACGAAACGAAAAGCCUGGGGCUAAUAUCCCCGGGUCAUGACGGUACCGUAAGAAUAAGCACCGGCUAACUACGUGCCAGCAGCCGCGGUAAUACGUAGGGUGCAAGCGUUAAUCGGAAUUACUGGGCGUAAAGCGUGCGCAGGCGGUUUUGUAAGACAGUGGUGAAAUCCCCGGGCUCAACCUGGGAACUGCCAUUGUGACUGCAAGGCUAGAGUGCGGCAGAGGGGGAUGGAAUUCCGCGUGUAGCAGUGAAAUGCGUAGAUAUGCGGAGGAACACCGAUGGCGAAGGCAAUCCCCUGGGCCUGCACUGACGCUCAUGCACGAAAGCGUGGGGAGCAAACAGGAUUAGAUACCCGGGUAGUCC